GCCUAACACAUGCAAGUCGAGCGGAAACGAGUUGUCUGAACCUUCGGGGAACGAUAACGGCGUCGAGCGGCGGACGGGUGAGUAAUGCCUAGGAAAUUGCCCUGAUGUGGGGGAUAACCAUUGGAAACGAUGGCUAAUACCGCAUGAUGCCUACGGGCCAAAGAGGGGGACCUUCGGGCCUCUCGCGUCAGGAUAUGCCUAGGUGGGAUUAGCUAGUUGGUGGGGUAAGGGCUCACCAAGGCGACGAUCCCUAGCUGGUCUGAGAGGAUGAUCAGCCACACUGGAACUGAGACACGGUCCAGACUCCUACGGGAGGCAGCAGUGGGGAAUAUUGCACAAUGGGCGCAAGCCUGAUGCAGCCAUGCCGCGUGUGUGAAGAAGGCCUUCGGGUUGUAAAGCACUUUCAGUCGUGAGGAAGGCGGCGUCGUUAAUAGCGGCGUUGUUUGACGUUAGCGACAGAAGAAGCACCGGCUAACUCCGUGCCAGCAGCCGCGGUAAUACGGAGGGUGCGAGCGUUAAUCGGAAUUACUGGGCGUAAAGCGCAUGCAGGUGGUUUUGUUAAGUCAGAUGUGAAAGCCCGGGGCUCAACCUCGGAAUAGCAUUUGAAACUGGCAGACUAGAGUACCGUAGAGGGGGGUAGAAUUUCAGGUGUACCGGUGAAAUGCGU
Molecule: ribosomal RNA, 667 nt
Filed under: uncultured Vibrio sp.
Lineage: Bacteria; Pseudomonadati; Pseudomonadota; Gammaproteobacteria; Vibrionales; Vibrionaceae
Description: bacterial SSU rRNA
Rfam family: Bacterial small subunit ribosomal RNA
Source: RNAcentral